RNAcentral lists this ribosomal RNA (301 nucleotides) under uncultured bacterium. RNAcentral describes it as "partial 16S ribosomal RNA". It matches the Rfam family "Bacterial small subunit ribosomal RNA", at positions 509 to 807 of the family's 1533-position model. The record is from RNAcentral.
CAGCAGCCACGAUAAAACGGAGGGUGCAAGCGUUAAUCGGAAUUACUGGGCGUAAAGCGCACGCAGGCGGUCUGUCAAGUCAGAUGUGAAAUCCCCGGGCUUAACCUGGGAACUGCAUUUGAAACUGGCAGGCUAGAGUCUUGUAGAGGGGGGUAGAAUUCCAGGUGUAGCGGUGAAAUGCGUAGAGAUCUGGAGGAAUACCGGUGGCGAAGGCGGCCCCCUGGACAAAGACUGACGCUCAGGUGCGAAAGCGUGGGGAGCAAACAGGAUUAGAUACCCGCGUAGUCCCUGUCUCUUAUAC